RNAcentral lists this ribosomal RNA (253 nucleotides) under uncultured bacterium. RNAcentral describes it as "partial 16S ribosomal RNA". It matches the Rfam family "Bacterial small subunit ribosomal RNA", at positions 524 to 776 of the family's 1533-position model. The record is from RNAcentral.
UACGAAGGGGGCGAGCGUUGUUCGGAUUUACUGGGCGUAAAGGGCGCGCAGGCGGCGAGUUUUGUCAGGCGUGAAAGCCCCGGGCUCAACCUGGGAAUUGCGCUUGAAACGGGCUUGCUAGAGAUCGGGAGAGGAGAGUGGAAUUCCCAGUGUAGAGGUGAAAUUCGUAGACAUUGGGAAGAACACCGGUGGCGAAGGCGGCUCUCUGGACCGAUACUGACGCUGAGGCGCGAAAGCGUGGGGAGCAAACAGG